Molecule: transfer RNA, 69 nt
Filed under: Pseudopaludicola murundu
Lineage: Eukaryota; Metazoa; Chordata; Amphibia; Anura; Leptodactylidae
Also listed under: 1 other name
Description: tRNA-Val
Rfam family: tRNA
About the family: Transfer RNA (tRNA) molecules are approximately 80 nucleotides in length.
Source: RNAcentral
CAAAAUGUAGCUUAAAUAAAGCAUCUCGCUUACACCGAGAAGAUACCCGCUAAAUCCGAGUCAUUUUGA